Long non-coding RNA from Lycium barbarum (goji berry), 615 nucleotides. RefSeq lists it as uncharacterized. The record is from RefSeq and is a predicted model, not a curated record. The transcript has 3 exons. Lineage: Eukaryota; Viridiplantae; Streptophyta; Magnoliopsida; Solanales; Solanaceae.
UUCACAUUGCAAAAUACUCCUUCAUGUCCAAAGAAAAGAAAAUGUACCAGCAGUAAGCUUCAUUGUUACCUCAAUUUCGUUCUUAUAACUCCACAAUCAACUAUAUUUCCUAUUUCCAUUGAUGGGGGGCAGAACGUGAAUCUACAUUUUCAAAGGGAGAAAAAGAUGAAGUUUACCAUUGAAGCAAAAAAAAAAACCAAAGAACGUGAUUAGUUUUGUAAUCAGCAACUUGGAAAGUUCUAAAGUUAAGUGACAACGUGAUUCAUUUUUCAAGAGCAGCAACAUAUUUCUAUUUAAGAUCUGCAGGUUCAAGAAAUGAGACAUGGGAUGAGUAAGUAAGCGACAAGGUAUAUAGGGAGACGGUACAGAUUCUUAGGCUGCCAUCUCAGCAUGGGUACAGGAGCACUACACUUGUUCCGGAGUUGCAGUUCAGCAUGGUAUGAUUCUUUUUUAUAUAUAUGGGCAUGGCGGGGUCCUGUCCCGUCGCUAUUAUGGUAUGUACUCCAUGAAGAGGCUCGUAGAUAGAUAUGUACAAUUAGUUGUUUUGUGACCUUUCGGUCCAUAUUUUGUUAUAUCGUUUGACAGCCAUAUCGGCCCGUAUAUAUGGGCACAGUU